Molecule: ribosomal RNA, 713 nt
Filed under: uncultured Pseudomonadota bacterium
Lineage: Bacteria; Pseudomonadati; Pseudomonadota
Description: bacterial SSU rRNA
Rfam family: Bacterial small subunit ribosomal RNA
Source: RNAcentral
AUUGAACGCUGGCCGCAGGCUUAACACAUGCAAGUCGAGCGGGCGAGGUUGCUUCGGUAACUGAGCUAGCGGCGGACGGGUGAGUAAUGCUUAGGAAUCUGCCUAUUAGUGGGGGACAACAUUCCGAAAGGAAUGCUAAUACCGCAUACGCCCUACGGGGGAAAGCAGGGGGAUCUUCGGACCUUGCGCUAAUAGAUGAGCCUAAGUCAGAUUAGCUAGUUGGUGGGGUAAAGGCCUACCAAGGCGACGAUCUGUAGCGGGUCUGAGAGGAUGAUCCGCCACACUGGGACUGAGACACGGCCCAGACUCCUACGGGAGGCAGCAGUGGGGAAUAUUGGACAAUGGGCGCAAGCCUGAUCCAGCCAUGCCGCGUGUGUGAAGAAGGCCUUUUGGUUGUAAAGCACUUUAAGCGAGGAGGAGGCUACUUGGAUUAAUACUCUAGGAUAGUGGACGUUACUCGCAGAAUAAGCACCGGCUAACUCUGUGCCAGCAGCCGCGGUAAUACAGAGGGUGCGAGCGUUAAUCGGAUUUACUGGGCGUAAAGCGUGCGUAGGCGGCUUCUUAAGUCGGAUGUGAAAUCCCUGAGCUUAACUUAGGAAUUGCAUUCGAUACUGGGAAGCUAGAGUAUGGGAGAGGAUGGUAGAAUUCCAGGUGUAGCGGUGAAAUGCGUAGAGAUCUGGAGGAAUACCGAUGGCGAAGGCAGCCAUCUGGCC